RNAcentral lists this ribosomal RNA (1184 nucleotides) under Vibrio parahaemolyticus. RNAcentral describes it as "partial 23S ribosomal RNA". It matches the Rfam family "Bacterial large subunit ribosomal RNA", at positions 333 to 1531 of the family's 2925-position model. The record is from RNAcentral. Lineage: Bacteria; Pseudomonadati; Pseudomonadota; Gammaproteobacteria; Vibrionales; Vibrionaceae.
ACGAACGGUCUGGAAAGUCCGACGAUACAGGGUGAUAGUCCCGUAGUUGACGACGUGUGUUCAGUGAAAUCGAGUAGGGCGGGACACGUGAUAUCCUGUCUGAAUAUGGGGGGACCAUCCUCCAAGGCUAAAUACUACUGACUGACCGAUAGUGAACCAGUACCGUGAGGGAAAGGCGAAAAGAACCCCUGUGAGGGGAGUGAAAUAGAACCUGAAACCGUGUACGUACAAGCAGUAGGAGCAGGCUUUGUCCUGUGACUGCGUACCUUUUGUAUAAUGGGUCAGCGACUUAUAUUCAGUGGCAAGGUUAACCAUCUAGGGGAGCCGUAGGGAAACCGAGUCUUAACUGGGCGUUCAGUCUCUGGAUAUAGACCCGAAACCAGGUGAUCUAGCCAUGGGCAGGUUGAAGGUUGAGUAACAUCAACUGGAGGACCGAACCGACUAAUGUUGAAAAAUUAGCGGAUGACUUGUGGCUAGGGGUGAAAGGCCAAUCAAACCUGGAGAUAGCUGGUUCUCCCCGAAAGCUAUUUAGGUAGCGCCUCGGACGAAUACUACUGGGGGUAGAGCACUGUUAAGGCUAGGGGGUCAUCCCGACUUACCAACCCUUUGCAAACUCCGAAUACCAGUAAGUACUAUCCGGGAGACACACGGCGGGUGCUAACGUCCGUCGUGGAGAGGGAAACAACCCAGACCGCCAGCUAAGGUCCCAAAUUACUACUAAGUGGGAAACGAUGUGGGAAGGCUCAGACAGCCAGGAUGUUGGCUUAGAAGCAGCCAUCAUUUAAAGAAAGCGUAAUAGCUCACUGGUCGAGUCGGCCUGCGCGGAAGAUGUAACGGGGCUAAGUAGUAAACCGAAGCUGCGGCAAUGUGCUUUUGCACAUUGGGUAGGGGAGCGUUCUGUAAGCGGUUGAAGGUGUGUGGUAACGCAUGCUGGACGUAUCAGAAGUGCGAAUGCUGACAUGAGUAACGAUAAAGGGGGUGAAAAACCUCCUCGCCGGAAGACCAAGGGUUCCUGUCCAACGUUAAUCGGGGCAGGGUAAGUCGACCCCUAAGGCGAGGCCGAAAGGCGUAGUCGAUGGGAAACGGGUUAAUAUUCCCGUACUUCUUACAAUUGCGAUGGGGGGACGGAGAAGGCUAGGUGGGCCUGGCGACGGUUGUCCAGGUUCAAGUGCGUAGGCUUAAGA